RNAcentral lists this long non-coding RNA (295 nucleotides) under Solanum lycopersicum (tomato). RNAcentral describes it as "partial TCONS_00028407". The record is from RNAcentral. Lineage: Eukaryota; Viridiplantae; Streptophyta; Magnoliopsida; Solanales; Solanaceae.
UGCUCUAAAAUCAAAUGGGAUCAACAGUGUAUAUAGAAAGAAAAGAGAACUUAUUGAUUACAGCUAAGGUCUUCAUGUAAAAUGCUUAAACACAAUCUUAGUUGUGCUUGAGAUUAUGAAAGCAUACUUGCAUUAUUAGGCUUCAGGUCCGUCACCAAUACUAGCUUAGCUUCUUCUGGGACCCGAGAUUGCAGAAGAACAGAGACGACUAGCUCAGAAAGUAAAACUGCUAUAGAAAGGGGAAAAAAAGAGAGUAUGCUGAUGCUUCAGAAUUCAGGUUGAAAAUAUUUACCGA